This 253-nucleotide ribosomal RNA is filed under the name uncultured bacterium. RNAcentral describes it as "partial 16S ribosomal RNA". It matches the Rfam family "Bacterial small subunit ribosomal RNA", at positions 524 to 776 of the family's 1533-position model. The record is from RNAcentral.
UACGUAGGGUGCGAGCGUUGUCCGGAAUUACUGGGCGUAAAGAGCUUGUAGGUGGUUUGUCGCGUUGUUCGUGAAAUCUCACGGCUUAACUGUGAGCGUGCGGGCGAUACGGGCAGACUAGAGUACUGCAGGGGAGACUGGAAUUCCUGGUGUAGCGGUGGAAUGCGCAGAUAUCAGGAGGAACACCGGUGGCGAAGGCGGGUCUCUGGGCAGUAACUGACGCUGAGAAGCGAAAGCUAGGGGAGCGAACGGG